RNAcentral lists this ribosomal RNA (253 nucleotides) under uncultured bacterium. RNAcentral describes it as "partial 16S ribosomal RNA". It matches the Rfam family "Bacterial small subunit ribosomal RNA", at positions 524 to 776 of the family's 1533-position model. The record is from RNAcentral.
UACGGGGGGGGCAAGCGUUGUUCGGAAUUACUGGGCGUAAGGGGCUCGUAGGCGGCCAACUAAGUCCGACGUGAAAUCCCAAGGCUUAACCUUGGAACUGCGUCGGAUACUGGAUGGCUUGAAUUCGGGAGAGGGAUGCAGAAUUCCAGGUGUAGCGGUGAAAUGCGUAGAUAUCUGGAGGAAUACCGGUGGCGAAGGCGGCAUCCUGGACCGACAUUGACGCUGAUGAGCGAAAGCUAGGGGAGCAAACGGG